CAAUUACAUGUUUGAAGGCAAUUUAGAUCAUUUGGAAAAUAUACAUUGCAAUUUCCGAACCGACAGUCCGAAAUGAACAAGGAGCACCUGAAUGUAACAUAAACACAAUCGCCUAGUUCAGGGACCGCUGUCGGCUGCUGAUCAUCGUAAAUUUGUGACAGAGGUAAAUUGUGUUCAAAGGAGAUUAUAAAUACGAGCUGAUUACUGUUGACAAUUAUUUUAAACUUCGGCAAUAUAAACUUUGUUAAGUCCAUUGAGCUAGUCGUAUUCUGCGAAAUAAAUCAUGUUAAUAUGUUAUGUUUUUCUGAGAGUGGAAAGGGUGAGCGACGUGAUUACAGUAUUCUAUCAAAUCAUGUUAGUGUUACGAACACGUAGCUUCUGAACAAGUUAAAGUAAAUGAUCCACACAUUUUUUUUGAGGAACUGCGUCUUCGUGUAACGUCAGACUGAUUGUAGUAGGCCUACCCAUUUUAAUAUAGGGAAUGAGGAGUUAAUGUCAUAUCCUAAACGCGAUUUUCUGGAUUGAUAUGUUUGUGGGAAAGAUUGCCCACAUGCCUACAAACUGAGUGCAAAACGUCGGGAACAACUCUGUCGUUGCAUGUUUACAGUCACGCCAGCUAAUUGAAUAUAUACAGUUUGUUUAUAUUUUACUUUACUUCCUCAAACGUCUACCUGUAUUCGACCACAAUAACACCUGUCCAUGUUAUAUUAUGUUCCGUUUAUAUGGGGCGGCCACUGUCGCAACAGGUGGAACAAUCUUGGAAUAAUCCUUGAGUGCUCCAUAGGAACUGGUUGUGUUCCCGUUCUUCCCAUUCUGUCGGCGUACCGUGAAUGUGUCACACCGGUGACGUAAAGCAGGGAUUUGAGGCGCAAGAUGAGAGGAUGCAUGUGCGCAGUUAGCUGGCAGCCUCCCUCCCUCAAUCUCUGGAGUCCCUCCCCUUGUUUUCAAUGUGGAGCUAUUGACAUGGGUUGUAUCAAUAAAUGUUUCCUGUAUCUACUUUGUACAUGUUUUGUUUAGUUCCUCCUACUUGACACUGUCUCCUCUGCUCAGAUGAGUCGUCGUCUCCACUGCUAUUCAAAGCCAGGUAGGCUGCUACUGGAGCAGCUGUCAUGUAGGCAAUAUUAACUAUAUGUACAAAAUGAGGCAUCAUCCUAUCACAUGUGUUUGUAUCUCCAGGUACAUCAGGAUAUGGUCUUGGUGCCAUUCGCCCAUUCUGUCUCUGUGCAGAGAGAGGCCGACAGUAAGGACUGCCACACACUCCCCUCUCCCUCUGCUCUCCUUGUAGAGUAUGACAGACCAGUGGUCCAUCACUGACUGGGCUGCAACGACUUCCUCUGGACCGAACUCUUUAGAGGUCACUGCCAUGCGGAAAGCCUCUGCAUUGUGUCGAAGGCCUAGUGUUAUUCUAUAUUUGUGUGAGCCCGAUAAAGCUCGUCGAGCUCCAAAAAAUAUAAAACUUACAAAAAUGAGUCAAACCAUCAGGUGAAAUGUUGACUGAUCACAAGAAACACCGCUUUUGUAACGUGAGUCAAUUCGACAUACCAACCUUCUCUUGGCUGUAAAUGCUCAGUAGUGCACCAUAUGUAUAUUAAUUAGAGGCUGAUACCAACAAAACUUUACGACAAAAUGUCACGGAUGACAGUAAAGUCGAAGACUAAAAGUAUUUCCAUUGAUGUAAAGAGAGUAAAGGCGUAGAAGUUCAGUGAAUAAGUUUUAGCUACCAGCCAAUACGAUACAUAUCUAGACAAUUUGAAAACACGUCCUCAGGAAAUGACUCCCUUUGUAGAAAUGAAACUAUGAACGAAUGAGCUUGGGGGCUGUUUGCCACCGACAGGAAGUCAGAAUGUAUCAAGAGAGCUUCGUGGUUUUGGUCAUUUGAUGUAAUUUCUUGAGAAUAAGGAAAAUAAAAAAGUGAAUCACAAUUCUUUGAACACCGACCUGCAGGUCUGACGAUGACUCUGAGUUACCUGUUCCGUGAACCGGCCACCAUACCUGUUUGAAAAGGGCCCUCUGUCACCCGGCUUCAGAGGAGAGCACGCGCUCCGCCGCUACCUUAGUGAAUAGGAGCACUGCGUUGCCUGUAAGCUGUGUGAGGCCGUCUGCCCUGCUCAGCUGAGACUCGAGCUGAUGGCAGCAGGAGAACGACACGCUAUGACAUUGAUAUGACCAAAUGUAUCUACUGUAGCUUCUGCCAAGAAGCCUGCCCUGUUGAUGCUAUUGUUGAGGGUCCAAACUUUGAGUUCUCCACAGAAACCCACGAGGAGCUGCUGUAGUGAAGCUGCUCAACAAUGGAGACCAACGGGAGGCUGAGAUAGCAGCCAACAUAAAGACUACCUGUAUAGAGAGUACACUGGCCACAGAAAUGUUUUAAUUCAUGAAAACAAUAUAUCUUAUCGUCCACCUACGCAUUACA
Long non-coding RNA from Pseudoliparis swirei, 2413 nucleotides. RefSeq lists it as uncharacterized. The transcript has 3 exons. The record is from RefSeq and is a predicted model, not a curated record. NCBI's taxonomy places the organism in Eukaryota, Metazoa, Chordata, Actinopteri, Perciformes, Liparidae.